GACGAACGCUGGCGGCGUGCCUAACACAUGCAAGUCGAGCGAAUGAAGUUCCUUUGGGACUGGAUUUAGCGGCGGACGGGUGAGUAACACGUGGGCAACUUGCUUCAUAGAGGGGAAUAGCCUCCCGAAAGGGAGAUUAUAACCCCAUAGUCUUGUAGUACCGCAUGAUACAGCAUUGAAAGAGGCGAUCUGAUAUGAGAUGGGCCCGCGUCGCAUUGUCGGGGUGGUGAGGGAAUGGCUCACCAAGGCUACGUAGCUUAGCCGACCGGAGAGGGUGGUCGGACACAUCGGGGCUGAGCCGCGGCGCAGACUCCUGCGCGAAGCAGCAGUGGGGAAUAUUGCACAGCGGGGGGAACGCUGAUGCAGCAACGACGCGUGAGUGAUGACGGCCUUCGGGUUGUAAAGCUCUGUAUUCAGGGACGAUAAUGACGGUACCUGAGGAGGAAGCAACGGCUAACUACGUG
RNAcentral lists this ribosomal RNA (464 nucleotides) under uncultured bacterium. RNAcentral describes it as "partial 16S ribosomal RNA". It matches the Rfam family "Bacterial small subunit ribosomal RNA", at positions 28 to 507 of the family's 1533-position model. The record is from RNAcentral.